This 1880-nucleotide long non-coding RNA is filed under the name Bos indicus x Bos taurus (hybrid cattle). Its description in RNAcentral is "lncRNA (ENSBIXG00000017686.1)". The record is from RNAcentral. Lineage: Eukaryota; Metazoa; Chordata; Mammalia; Artiodactyla; Bovidae.
GAGGAGGGGGUUCACCGGCCCUUCCAUCAUGGGGAGAAUGUGCAGGCUCUGAAUCUGGCCAACAGCUUGGAGGCUUUCUUCCUCUCUGCUAGGGUGACUUGGAUUCUGGGGCCAGUCUCCUAAAGGGAAUAAACUCAUACUGAGAAUCAGCUCAGUGCUUCCCAUGCAUGAAGUCAGGUUUUACAAUUUGCUCAAUAUCAUGUGGGUUGUGAGGAGUGGGGCUGGGAUUUGAACCCAAGUCUCUCUAAAUAUGGGUUCCCCAGGUGGCCCAGUGGGAAAGAAUCAGUCUACAAUGCAGGUGCUGCGGGUUGGAUCCCUGGGUUGAGCGGAUCCCCUGGAGAAGGAAAUGGCAACCCACUCUAGUAUUCUUGCCUGGAAAAUUGUAUGGACAGCAGAGCCUGGCGGGCUACAGUUCAUGGGUUCACAAAGGGUCGGACAUGACAUAGCGACUAAAAAACAACAGGCAACAACUCUCUAAAUGUGCAAAGCUCCCCGUUCAUCAGAGCUUCCUGCCGUUGCUGACCGUUGCUUUUGCUGCAUCCCAGCCUUCUGAAAGAUUGCUGGUGGCUUCCCCUGGUACCCGCGCCAGACAAGGGUCAGAUCAGUGGCGUGAGAGCCACCCAUCACAAGUGGACAGCUUCCUGCUUCCUGCUCUACACCCCGUUCUCCUUGCGCCAAGAAUCCCCCUCCCUCCCUCAGGACUCCCUGGCAGCAUGUGGCCCCGUGGAGUACUCCGUACAGACAGGGGUCCUCAGCCCAACAGGCACUGACAUUUGGAGCACUGCCCUCUACCCUCCUGCCUUAUUUCCGCUUCGGGUCUCACUGAGGCCAUUCUUACAAGCCAGAGAAUGCAGCGGCCUUCUUCCCAUAGGAAAGCACAAGAUCUAUGGGAUUUAAUAAGAUCAUCCAAGCCUUGGCGCGGUGGCAGAUUUCUGGUGACACCACGUUCUUUGGGGAGCCAGCAGAUGACGGAUGGAGGAGCCACGUCCACCCAGGGAGGUCCUGCCUUGAACAGAUGCUGCCGAUGGAGGCUGCCUUCCCCGCCUCUCCAUCUCCUUCAGCGCCAGCCCCUGGGGCACCCAUCACCUUCUCCACCCUCCUUGCUCUGGUCAGUGUCCUCGCUGCAGACAGCCUGGCUGGAACAGGUGAGCAGGCGCCACCUCCAACCUCCUGGGUCCCGGAGUGAUGGAUGCUGGACUGCGUACCUCCUGUCCUCCCCCCACGUCACCCCACCCUCACUUUCAGAGUGCAGUGAAAAGUUGCGGGUUCCACGGGUCUCACGGAGCCUGGAGUUCUGAGGUCAAGUGUGCAUGGAGAAGGAAAGAGGUCGAGGCCAUGGGGGUGGCUGGGUUCUCAGGAUACCCACAUUCGUUCCAGGGAGCUCAUUCUGCCCUGCUCUGGUCCCAGAGAAGCCGAUCCCUUAUCCGUUUUGCUGGUGGACAGAGCUUUCCUUUAGAGAAACUCACACCCCUUAGGCUGGUUUCUUCCAAGCCAAGAAGCCUUUAAGGUCAUCUUGCCCAGGGCUUCCCUGAUGGCUCAGUGGUGAAGAAUCUGCCUGCUGAUGCAGGAGACACAGGUUCGAUCCUUCGUCCAGGAAGAUCCCACAUGCUGUGGAGCAAUUAAGCCCCCGGGCCAUGGCUAUUGAGCCUGUGCCCUAGAGCCCGGGAACCGCCACGACUGAGCCCGUUUGCCACAACUACCGAAGCCCGUGCACCCUGGAGACUGUGCUCCAGCAAGAGGAGCCAUGGCAGUGAGAAGCCCGAGCUCCGCAACAGACAGCAGUCUGCGCUCUCUGAAACUAGAGAAAGCCCGCACAGCAACGAAGGCUGAGCACAGCCCGAGAUACAUACAUGUGUAAAUAAAAAUUUGAGAAAAGUUCA